AACGUAGGACACAAGCGUUAUCCGGAGUUACUGGGCGUAAAGGGCGUUUAGGCGGGUGAUUAAGUUCGCUAUGAAAGCGCCAGGCUAAACCUGGCGAGGCUGGCGGAUACUGGUCAUCUGGAGUGAGUCAGAGGAAGGUAGAAUUCCGCGUGUAGUGGUGAAAUGCGUAGAGAUGCGGAGGAAUACCAGUGGCGAAGGCGGCCUUCUGGGACUCAACUGACGCUGAAGCGCGAAAGCGUGGGUAGCAAACAGG
Molecule: ribosomal RNA, 253 nt
Filed under: uncultured bacterium
Lineage: Bacteria
Description: partial 16S ribosomal RNA
Rfam family: Bacterial small subunit ribosomal RNA
Source: RNAcentral